GAUGAACGCUGGCGGCGUGCUUAACACAUGCAAGUCGAACGGUGAAAGAGAGCUUGCUCUCUGGAUCAGUGGCGAACGGGUGAGUAACACGUGAGCAACCUGCCCUUGACUCUGGGAUAAGCACUGGAAACGGUGUCUAAUACCGGAUACGAGCUUCAGUCGCAUGGCUAGGAGCUGGAAAGAAUUUCGGUCAAGGAUGGACUCGCGGCCUAUCAGCUAGUUGGUGAGGUAAUGGCCCACCAAGGCGACGACGGGUAGCCGGCCUGAGAGGGUGACCGGCCACACUGGGACUGAGACACGGCCCAGACUCCUACGGGAGGCAGCAGUGGGAAUAUUGCACAAUGGGCGCAAGCCUGAUGCAGCAACGCCGCGUGAGGGACGACGGCCU
RNAcentral lists this ribosomal RNA (388 nucleotides) under uncultured bacterium. Its description in RNAcentral is "bacterial SSU rRNA". It matches the Rfam family "Bacterial small subunit ribosomal RNA", at positions 28 to 417 of the family's 1533-position model. The record is from RNAcentral.